AGGACGACGCUGGCGGCGUGCGUUAACACGAUGCAAGUCGAACGGAAAGGCCCUGGCUUUUGUGGGGUGCGUCGAGUGGCGAACGGGUGAGUAACACGUGAGUAACCUGCCCUUGACUUUGGGAUAACUUCAGGAAACUGGGGCGUAAUACCGGAUAGGAGCUCCUGCUGCAUGGUGGGGGUUGGAAAGGUUUCGGCGGUUGGGGAUGGACUCGCGGCUUAUCAGCUUGUUGUGGGGUAGUGGCUUACCAAGGCUUUGACGGGUAGCCGGCCUGAGAGGGUGACCGGCCACAUUGGGACUGAGAUACGGCCCAGACUCCUACGGGAGGCAGCAGUGGGGAAUAUUGCACAAUGGACGGAAGCCUGAUGCAGCAACGCCGCGUGCGGGAUGACGGCCUUCGGGUUGUAAACCGCUUUCGCCUGUGACGAAGCGUGAGUGACGGUAAUGGGUAAAGAAGCACCGGCUAACUACGUG
This 474-nucleotide ribosomal RNA is filed under the name uncultured Propionibacterium sp. RNAcentral's name for it is "bacterial SSU rRNA". It matches the Rfam family "Bacterial small subunit ribosomal RNA", at positions 33 to 507 of the family's 1533-position model. The record is from RNAcentral. Lineage: Bacteria; Bacillati; Actinomycetota; Actinomycetes; Propionibacteriales; Propionibacteriaceae.